GACAGAGGGUGCAAACGUUGUUCGGAAUUACUGGGCGUAAAGCGAGUGUAGGCGGUCUGAAAAGUCGGAUGUGAAAGCCCCGGGCUCAACCCGGGAAGUGCAUUCGAAACUGCCAGGCUAGAGUGUCGGAGAGGUUGGUGGAAUUCUCGGUGUAGAGGUGAAAUUCGUAGAUAUCUGGAGGAACACCGGUGGCGAAGGCGGCAUCCUGGACCGGUAUUGACGCUGAGGCGCGAAAGCCAGGGGAGCAAACGGG
RNAcentral lists this ribosomal RNA (253 nucleotides) under uncultured bacterium. Its description in RNAcentral is "partial 16S ribosomal RNA". It matches the Rfam family "Bacterial small subunit ribosomal RNA", at positions 524 to 776 of the family's 1533-position model. The record is from RNAcentral.